This is an RNA transcript of Rhagoletis zephyria (snowberry fruit fly), 1387 nucleotides long. It is a transcript of the gene named calcium homeostasis endoplasmic reticulum protein-like, with no coding region annotated. The record is from RefSeq and is a predicted model, not a curated record. NCBI's taxonomy places the organism in Eukaryota, Metazoa, Arthropoda, Insecta, Diptera, Tephritidae.
UUUGGGUCACAUAACUGUCAAACGUGUGCAAAAUUAGUUGAGCAUGGCGUCAAGGAAAAUUUAUUCCGCAUAAAAUCUGAAAAGGUUUUGCAAUUAAAGUGAAAUAUAAUAUCAAAAAUUGUAAAAAGUGAAAAUGAUGGAUAGUCCGCCUCCCCCACGUGAUUCCAGUCUACGGAACAUAAUCGACAAAUUGGCUGAAUUUGUUGCAAGAAAUGGACCUGAAUUUGAAAUGAUCACCAAACAGAAACAACAUGGUAAUCCAAAAUUUGAUUUCCUCUAUGGGGGCGAAUUCGCUGGUUACUAUCAGUACCGAGUGGCCGCCGAGCAAGCAUAUCUCAAGCAACAAGGCACCAUCCCGCAGUCAUCCACCCAUCAUCCACAAUCGGUGCACCAUAUGCAACAUCCUACAUCAUCACCUGCAAUGACACAUCAUUACACACAGGGCCCACCAUCUCAGAUGCAUAUGCAACAAACACAAGGAAUGCCACAAAACUCGAUUGACGGAAGUAAUUUCAAUAUCAACAUGCAGCAACCACCACCAUCUUCGGGCAAUAGCGCGAAUGUAGCAUUAAAUCUUACUGGGCAAAUAGAAGCGAUUAAUAUGCAGCAAAAUACUUUACGCGAUCAAAUACGUCAGUCCGAGUCAAAUCUCUCCGCACAGCAUUCGGUAAUUUUUUACACCCUUCGAUACAUUUGGUUUAUAAAUUGCUUGUUUGGAAUAGUAAAAGAUGAAGUAGUAGAUAUAUGGAGCGGUUGUAGCACUUUUUACAAAUUUCGUAUUGCAUAAACUUCACAUUUAGAGCGCAUGGAGAUAUUAGGUAUUCAAAAAUUUAGUUUUUCACGUGCCCAGUGACUUGAGAGUAAAAAAAAAAAUAAAUAAUGUGCCUAUUUUCAAAGUAUAAAAUUGAUGCAUCUGAAAUCUAGCCAGUUGAACUUAAUUGCUGGUAUAAAAUCAACAAGGAACAUGUUAAACGACUAUGCAAACAAUGAACGACGGCUAUGAACUAGGAUUAUCAUCGCACCAGUGAAACUUUAAGUCCAAUUAAAUAUUUUUUGUGAUUAUUAUGCUGUAAUAACUAAAUUUUUAAAGUUGUUAGUUGUUUUCAAGAAAAGUUGUUUAUACUUUUUAAGGGUCUUUGGUUUUCCAUAUGUAUGCGUACUACAUGUGUUUCGAAUUUCUGCUUCCCAUAGAAGCCGUAUUUAGUUGAGCUUGGUAGUAGAAGUCCUAGUUGUAUGUUGCUUUUUUUUCUCAGGAAUUAUUGUUGCUGUUUUGGGUUUUUCUGCGUGUUAACAACUACCUUCUUUCGGGAAUAGUUCACCUUUUAUGAAAAUUUUUACUUAUCUCAUCUUAUUACAUCCCCGUUCUAAAAGUCGCUCCUCGUGAGGA